UAAAAGUAUAGGGCACAGUUGGAGUGAUCCAGAUGGGAUGAUGGCUGUCAUUUGUUUUUUUUAAAAGACGAACGCGCAUCUUGUGUGCGUCUGCAAAAACCCGGCUCCUGCGUGACCUCGUGAACUCGCCUGCAGCGUGACCUCGAAAACCAGCCACCCUGACGGCUCCACGGAACACCCCCCCCACCCCCCACAUCCCUGGGCUCAGUUGUGCAGGCUGUUACCCAGGCAGGAAGUGACAUCAACGGGUCCAAACUAAAAAAUAUGUCGCAGGACGGGGCUGUCUGGGAUGACCAGGACCGGUGGCUGUGGGGAAGGAGGAUGCCACGCACAAAGUGACGUUCACUGAAGGAUGCGGGGAGAGCGCCGCACACACACAGGCGAGCCAGACAGACGCACUGGAGGCUGAUGGCCUCCCUGGUCUGGGUGGAGCCGACGGAGAGCUGCAGACCUGGAUGGCAUCAAACCGGCCGUUCGUACCUCUGCUCCUGGCUAUCAUCACCCACUCUGGCCCUGUCAUGAUGAUCACCUAAUCUCUGCAGUGUAGUCCCAUGUAUGCAUUGCAAGGCGGCUGUGUAAUCAAGCCUGUGAACUCCACAUCUGAAGGAAGGAUUCUGUUUCUGAUCACAUCCCUAUUGAAGUGGAUCCAUUCACUGAACACGGAUGUGUUGACGUGCUCAAGCUUGCACUCCUUGAAUAUUCCACGUCUGAGGGGCCAUGAAUAAUGCCAAGGACCCGAGAGAAAGAAAGAAAAACAGACUGCACCCCUGCUCCAGUUUAUUACCACACAGCUGCACUCAGCCGGCACAGUGAGGCCCGUCAAGCCAUUAGCGAGUCCCAGCACUGAUAAUGAAGCCACUGAGGUGGUCCGAGCCAGUGUGGCGCAGGAGCUGGAGCGCAGGAGGAAGGUAGAUUAGGAUAAUUACCUGGCCAUGGGGGCACGAUGACAAAGACUCACUUCCUGCAGGCUUCAAUCGCGGAGGGGCACAAUAUAAUCAGGUGUCCUCACAUGUAUGUGCUCUACGUGUUUAUUUGCUGUUUAUGUGGUGUAGGUUCCUCACAUAAUGUAAGUAAGUCCUAAAUAUCCACACUCAUGGAGACUUUGAAGAGCCUAUGAGGUCAGGUUUUUAAAUUAUGGUCUGCACCCACACCAGGCUUUCUCUCCCCACUCCUGUUAAUCCAUUUUCCACACAAUGCAUUUCAAAUCAAAGCAGCGUCACCAUAACAUGCCUUAGGAAACAUUAAGCCAUAGUGCGCUACUUUCAUGUAUGAUAGCAUAGCCCCUGUAUGCUUUGAUGUGCUCACUUCUUUUUAAUGCUUUAUUAAUAAUAACACACUGGUUCCUUCUUAUACCAACAUCAGCUUCUGGUGCUCCUUCUUUCUCUCCUCCCGAACCACAUCCCUCGCUCCCUCCAUGCCUCGGCUCCUUCAUCCCUCCCCAGCCCCUCAGUCUUGUCUCGGGAUUGGCCUGCUUGUGUUCGGGAGCGGGAUUAGAGGGACUGAUAUAGGCCUCAAGAUGAAGAGAGUGAGAAAAGACCUAUGAGAGGGCAGAGAGUGCGGAGCGCCGCAUCACCAUUGGUUGCUGUGCAAAUCAGACACGUCUUCAUUUCCUCCAACCAUCCUCUGCGAGUGCCCGGCUUUCAUUUCCAUGCCCGGGGAGGGUAGCCGAAAGA
This is a long non-coding RNA of Hippoglossus stenolepis (Pacific halibut), 1673 nucleotides long. RefSeq lists it as uncharacterized. The record is from RefSeq and is a predicted model, not a curated record. The transcript has 7 exons. NCBI's taxonomy places the organism in Eukaryota, Metazoa, Chordata, Actinopteri, Pleuronectiformes, Pleuronectidae.